GACAGAGGGUGCAAACGUUGUUCGGAAUUACUGGGUGUAAAGCGUGUGUAGGCGGUCUCUUAAGUCGGAUGUGAAAGCCCCGGGCUCAACCCGGGAAGUGCACUCGAAACUGGGAGGCUAGAGUACUGGAGAGGUUGGUGGAAUUCUCGGUGUAGAGGUGAAAUUCGUAGAUAUCGUGAGGAACACCGGUGGCGAAGGCGGCCAACUGGACAGAUACUGACGCUGAGACACGAAAGCGUGGGGAGCAAACAGG
RNAcentral lists this ribosomal RNA (253 nucleotides) under uncultured bacterium. Its description in RNAcentral is "partial 16S ribosomal RNA". It matches the Rfam family "Bacterial small subunit ribosomal RNA", at positions 524 to 776 of the family's 1533-position model. The record is from RNAcentral.